Molecule: long non-coding RNA, 565 nt
Filed under: Apteryx owenii (little spotted kiwi)
Lineage: Eukaryota; Metazoa; Chordata; Aves; Apterygiformes; Apterygidae
Description: lncRNA (ENSAOWG00000002467.1)
Source: RNAcentral
CAGUGUCCUCAGGGUGAUGGUGGUGGCCUCGGUGGCCCCACGCUCACUCUGUCCCUAGGGAGUGGUGUCCCCGGUGUCCCCAGGGUGAUGGUGAUGACCGUGGUGGCCCCACACUCACCCUGUCCCCAGGGUGAUGGUGACGACCCCGGUGGCCCCGCACUCGCCCUGCCUCCAGGAGGGUGGCGUCCCCGGGGCGACGGUGGUGGCCUCGGUGGCCCCGCGCUCACCCUGUCCCCGCAGUGGUGUUCGGGGAACACUCCCUGCUCGUCACCGUCUCCGGGCAGAAGCUCUUCGUGGUGAAGCGCCAGAACCACGUCCAGGAGCCCGUCGCCGUGUGAGCCGCCCCGGAGGCCGGCCCGCGUCCCCGCUGUCCCCAGGGCCCUGCGGUGACACCUACCCGGGUCGCUGCCGUCCCCAAGACCUUCCCAGGUGGACGGUCCCCCACAUCUCUGCUGUCCCCAGGGCCCUGUGGUGUCCCCCGACCAUGUCCCUGCUGUCCCCAGGGCCCCGUGGUGACACCCACCCGUGUCUCUGCUGUCCCCCCCCCCCCCCCCCCCCGGCAGCA